Molecule: long non-coding RNA, 357 nt
Organism: Oncorhynchus nerka (sockeye salmon)
Lineage: Eukaryota; Metazoa; Chordata; Actinopteri; Salmoniformes; Salmonidae
Exons: 3
Source: RefSeq, a predicted model, not a curated record
UGAAAACGUCGCAAACAUUUACGAGUUGCAACAGGAACCAGCAACGUUUUUCUUCCUGAACACCAAGGUUGAGAAGACAGCAGGUUUGUGGCUACGUGUUGAUGUAACAGAACAACCGGAACAGAACAGAGCUGAAGAUUAGAUGGACGGGUUUGCAGGUGACAUACUGAGCGGUGGCCGGGCGUUGCUAGGCGAAGACAGCUCGGUCAUGGCCCGCAUGCAGAAGAAGUUUUGGAAGACGAAGCAGGUUCUGAUCAAGGCCACAGGGAAGAAGGAGGAUGAGUACGUGGUGGCUUCUGAUGCCGACCUCGACGCCAAGCUGGAGGUAGGACCCUGACCUUUAACCCCUAACUCUAA